GUGGGGAAUCUUCCGCAAUGGACGAAAGUCUGACGGAGCGACGCCGCGUGAGUGAAGAAGGCCUUCGGGUCGUAAAGCUCUGUCAUCAGGGACGAACGGCCGGUGGAGUGGAAAGCCACCGGAUUGACGGUACCUGAGAAGGAAGCCACGGCUAACUACGUGCCAGCAGCCGCGGUAAUACGUAGGUGGCAAGCGUUGUCCGGAAUUAUUGGGCGUAAAGCGCGCGCAGGUGGGAUCUUAAGUCCAUUUUGAAAGUUCGGAGCUCAACUCCGUGAUGGGAAGGAAACUGGGAUUCUUGAGUACCGGAGAGGAAAGCGGAAUUCCCCGUGUAGCGGUGAAAUGCGUAGAUAUGGGGAGGAACACCAGUGGCGAAGGCGGCUUUCUGGACGGUGUCUGACACUGAGGCGCGAAAGCCAGGGGAGCGAACGGGAUUAGAAACCCUGGUAGUCC
Molecule: ribosomal RNA, 450 nt
Filed under: uncultured bacterium
Lineage: Bacteria
Description: partial 16S ribosomal RNA
Rfam family: Bacterial small subunit ribosomal RNA
Source: RNAcentral